This 347-nucleotide unclassified non-coding RNA is filed under the name soil metagenome. RNAcentral describes it as "partial contains 5.8S ribosomal RNA, internal transcribed spacer 2, and large subunit ribosomal RNA". The stretch from base 1 to 120 matches the Rfam family "5.8S ribosomal RNA", at positions 35 to 154 of the family's 154-position model. The record is from RNAcentral.
GAUGAAGAACGCAGCGAAAUGCGAUAAGUAGUGUGAAUUGCAGAAUUCCGUGAAUCAUCGAAUCUUUGAACGCACAUUGCGCCUCCUGGUAGUCCGGGAGGCAUGCCUGUUCGAGCGUCACCAAAUCCAAUUCAAGCGGUUUUGCGCUUGGUCGUGGCGGAAGAGUCGGUCUGGUUGCCGUCUCCCCUCCGAAAAUCAACGGCGGAAAGUCACUGGCAGUCAGCGUAGUAGUAUCGUUCGCCGAACAUCCAGUGGCAUUCCUGCCGACGUACCCCCACAAUUCUCGUGAUUGACCUCGGAUCAGGUAGGGAUACCCGCUGAACUUAAGCAUAUCAAUAAGCGGAGGA